Long non-coding RNA from Vicia villosa (hairy vetch), 458 nucleotides. RefSeq lists it as uncharacterized. The record is from RefSeq and is a predicted model, not a curated record. The transcript has 2 exons. Lineage: Eukaryota; Viridiplantae; Streptophyta; Magnoliopsida; Fabales; Fabaceae.
GGAAACCUUAUAGUUGUUUAAAAUAAUUUAAUUAUUUUUAAGAUAGUACGAUAUUUAUAAACUAUAAAUAGAUUGAAUCAUUUUCUAUUUUUUAAGCAAAGAUAAAAAAAAAUAUAUAUGAUGGAAUUUCUCAUUUUUGUUUAUGCUAUCAUUCUAUGUUUUAUCUUAUUUAUUGUUGCAACCAAAGCUGGUGGUGAAAUUAUUCAAUGUGAAACUGACUCCGAUUGUCUCGAAGCUUGGAUUAAGUAUUAUGUUCAUAAGUGCAUUGAUUACAAAUGUAAAUGGGUUAUAAAGAGUCCUUGAUUUUACGAGACUAUGAAGAAUACAAAUUUUUGCAAGAGAAUGUGUUAUUGUACUAGAAAAAUAAAUGUAUAAUUUACCUUAUGAUGGAAUAUUCUAUGAGUUGUAAUUGUUAUUAUAUUGGCACCCAAUAAUUUAAUUAUCUUUUCUUUUCUUAA